CCUUUUAAUUGGAGGCCUGCAUGAAUGGCUUGACGAGCGCCCUGCUGUCUCUCUUCCCAUGAACUUUUAAAUUAACUUUCGCGUGCAAAGGCGCGAAUGGCUGAGUUAGACGAAAAGACCCUAUGCAUCUUUACUGAGAGAGAAGAAAGUUCUUUAGCUUGGUUUAGCUGGGGCAGCUGAGGAAAAGGCAAAAUUUCCUUAAUAUAAGUCAUACUGGUGGGUUUAGAUCCAGGCUCUUUAGCGGGCUUGACAAGUAGAAAAGUUACGCUAGGGAUAACAGCGUUAUCCUUCUGUGGAGGUCUUAUCUGCAGGAGGGAUUGCGACCUCGAUGUUGAAUUAGGGAUAUACCAGAAAGGCGCAGAAGCUUUUAUUGUGGU
Molecule: ribosomal RNA, 377 nt
Filed under: Pinna nobilis
Lineage: Eukaryota; Metazoa; Mollusca; Bivalvia; Pterioida; Pinnidae
Description: partial 16S ribosomal RNA
Rfam family: Bacterial large subunit ribosomal RNA
Source: RNAcentral